Acanthosepion pharaonis is the source of this 110-nucleotide non-coding RNA. The record is from the annotation of a GenBank genome assembly. Lineage: Eukaryota; Metazoa; Mollusca; Cephalopoda; Sepiida; Sepiidae.
UGUCAUAUCACUUUGAAACACCGAUUGUCCUAAGAUAUCCGAAGUUAAACAACUUCAAGCCUGGCCAGUACCAAGAUGGGUGACCACUUGGGAAUACCAGAUGCUGUAAG